UUUGUUUUACGUGCAGAAAUUGUUACCAUUUUCGGGCUCGAAAAUGGUAACAAUUUCCGCACGUAAUACAAA
Non-coding RNA from Paramuricea clavata, 72 nucleotides. The record is from the annotation of a GenBank genome assembly. Lineage: Eukaryota; Metazoa; Cnidaria; Anthozoa; Malacalcyonacea; Plexauridae.